This 238-nucleotide long non-coding RNA is filed under the name Elaeis guineensis (African oil palm). RNAcentral's name for it is "long non-coding RNA (EGUI_LNC001812)". The record is from RNAcentral. Lineage: Eukaryota; Viridiplantae; Streptophyta; Magnoliopsida; Arecales; Arecaceae.
AUCCUUAACUUUGCUAACAUAAUCUGAUCCAUGGCCGACGCCCUCAAUUGCUCCUAGGAAGCUCCUCUUUGAUGACUACCUAUGGGCUUGCAUUCGAUUUUUUGAGGCCAUGCCAUGGAUGGAAGGCGAGGAGGUCAUCAGCUUGGUCCCCAUUCUUCAUAAAAAAGAAUCAUUGGAUCUCCAAUUGCUAAGGUUUCUUCGAAGGUGGCCAUCAAAAAUGGGAAUAGCACAUUGGAAG